GAAGACCUGAGUUUGAGACCAGUCUUUGGUGUUAACUCUGUGACCUUAGUUGAGUCAAGAGACCUCAGCUGCCUUGGAAAGCAUCGAAGCCAUAUGCAAGCUGCGACAUUGGAGGGAAAUGAGCAGAGUUGCAUAAGACCCAUCCCUCUACUUGGUUGGCCAGCCUACAUGUACUCUCCACCUGCUUCAGGAAGUGGGUGAAAGGCACACAUGCUAAUGAAGCUAUUCAACACCCAAUGCUCAAUGAGCAGCUGAAUUCAAGGAAGUCAACCAGUGCCGGAGAUGCAGAAAGCACCCAAGGAAACUUCAGAGUUCAGAGGGGGACACUCGACCAAUGGAUGCUGACGGAAUAAGCUGCCAACACCCAGAGCCCUUGUCAGGGAACUGAAAAUCAGGGAGCUCUGGGCCCCUCAGUUUUUGAAAGAGGGCUCACUGUUCUAGCGUCUGGUGGCUGGAUAGUUAUUCAAAGAGUCAAUUGUAUUGGGGAGAAAGAAGGCAGGUCCGCUGGUGCUAAAAAAGAUCUGAAGUUGUGAUAAAUACAGUACAUAAAGUAUCCUUUUGAUCCCCAAAGCAAGACAAGUGUCUCAGCUUAGCCUUCCUGUGAUUUCUUUCAAGGCUAUCCUGAGUGAAUAUAAGGCAGCCCUCUAAUCAUGCCCCUCUUGUCCUCAAAAACUUUUAGGGACUCCCUCCCUCCCUCUCACUCAUUGCCUAUAAAAUAUAGGUGAGUGAUAUUGGCAUUCAAGGCCCUCCACUAUCUGGCUCAAAUUUAUA
Non-coding RNA from Phascolarctos cinereus (koala), 771 nucleotides. NCBI's taxonomy places the organism in Eukaryota, Metazoa, Chordata, Mammalia, Diprotodontia, Phascolarctidae. The record is from RefSeq and is a predicted model, not a curated record.